Molecule: ribosomal RNA, 253 nt
Filed under: uncultured bacterium
Lineage: Bacteria
Description: partial 16S ribosomal RNA
Rfam family: Bacterial small subunit ribosomal RNA
Source: RNAcentral
UACGGGGGGGGCAAGCGUUGUUCGGAUUCAUUGGGCGUAAAGGGUGCGUAGGUGGCGCUGUAAGUCAGGUGUGAAAUUUCGGAGCUUAACUCCGAAACUGCAUUUGAUACUGCGGUGCUCGAGGACUGGAGAGGAGACUGGAAUUUACGGUGUAGCAGUGAAAUGCGUAGAGAUCGUAAGGAAGACCAGUGGCGAAGGCGGGUCUCUGGACAGUUCCUGACACUGAGGCACGAAGGCCAGGGGAGCAAACGGG